Long non-coding RNA from Gallus gallus (chicken), 1215 nucleotides. The record is from Ensembl. NCBI's taxonomy places the organism in Eukaryota, Metazoa, Chordata, Aves, Galliformes, Phasianidae.
CCGGGACCCCGGCUCCCGCCGCGCCUCCCCCUGCCCCCCGAGGCUGCCUCCCGGUUCGGCAGAGGCCGCUCGGCAGGGGCAGGAGGCCCAGCGCCACGAAGGGGGCGGAACCAACCGAGCGGCGGCUGCUCCCCGCGGGCCCCGCUCUCGCUUCUCCUUCGCCGGGAAACGCGGCCCGGCCGCCCCGCGGCUCCCCUCUUCCUGCUCCUCGGCAGAGGCCGGCGGGCACCGAGCGCGGCCCCGAAACGCGCCGGCCCCCCUCAGCCGCAGAGCGAAGCAGAACGGACGAGCGAACGAGCGAGCGAGCAGGAAUUAGAGGAAACCAAAGUGAACAGGUAUUCAUUAGAUCUGAGAAUAAAAUUUCCUCUGACAUAUCAGGUGGAGCAGGAAAGGAAAGACAUAGUUCAUAACUCUGCCUCUAUGACACCAACAAGCAGAGCUUCGUCUUCCAGAAGGCAUCUUGGUGCAGUCAACAAGUACCAGCUGUGUCACCGCGGUCUCUGCAUGAGCAAACAAUUACAGGACAGAGCCACACCUGGAUUUGUGCCUGCAAGUGAGGAUUUUCCACUACAGAGAUCAGAUUUUUGAUAACUUGAUGGAUUAUUAAAAAUUACUUCACUGGAGAAGGGAAGGCUGAGAGAAGACUUCAUUGCAACCUCCCAGUAUUUAAAAGGAAAUCAUGAUCUGAAUGGAUGAGCAGCCAGAGCAGUGAAGAACUGUUUGGAUGACUAGUUUGAGAGUGUAGUCCUCUGUGGAAGCUGGCAACUGUCAGGAUCUGUGCUGGGACCUGUCCCACUUUACAACUUUACCAGUGACCUGGAAGGGAUUAUGCACUCGCAGAAAUUUGUCAGAUGCUACCAAACUGGAAGUGACCAGCAGAUGAGCUGGAAGGCAAUGCUCCAUUCAUCAGACACCUAGACACGUUGCGAAAAUGUGCUUAUGGGAACUUCAUUAAACUCAAUGAGAACAAAUGCAAACUCCUGACCCUAAAAAGGAAGACUCCCUGGCAGUGAUAGAGACUGGGAAGCAGCAGUUCCAGGGAGAAGGCUCUGCGGGACAGUGAUAUGAACGCUUGUAGCAGGGAAGCCAGAAAAUCCAGAUCAGUGUUAACAGGAGCUCAGUAGGUCAAGAGAAGUGAUUAUCCCCAGCUUUACUUAGCACUCGUUAGAUCACAUCUAAACACUGCGUGCAGUUUUGGGCUCCCCUGUACAGGAA